CGAAAGCCUGACGGAGCAAUACCGCGUGAGGGAAGACUGCCUAUGGGUUGUAAACCUCUUUUUUCAGGGAGGAAUAAAAUGACGUGUACCUGAAGAAUAAGCAUCGGCUAACUCCGUGCCAGCAGCCGCGGUAAGACGGAGGAUGCAAGCGUUAUCCGGAAUCAUUGGGCGUAAAGCGUUCGUAGGUGGUCUUGCAAGUCUGCUGUUAAAUCCGAGGGCUUAACCCUUGUUCGGCGGUGGAAACUACAAGACUAGAGGGCGGUAGGGGCAGAGGGAAUUCCCGGUGUAGCGGUGAAAUGCGUAGAGCUCGGGAAGAACUCCGAUGGCGAAAGCACUCUGCUGGGCCGUGCCUGACACUCAUGGACGAAAGCUAGGGGAGCA
Molecule: ribosomal RNA, 381 nt
Filed under: uncultured cyanobacterium
Lineage: Bacteria; Bacillati; Cyanobacteriota
Description: bacterial SSU rRNA
Rfam family: Bacterial small subunit ribosomal RNA
Source: RNAcentral